This 59-nucleotide non-coding RNA is filed under the name Alexandrium minutum. Lineage: Eukaryota; Dinophyceae; Gonyaulacales; Pyrocystaceae. The record is from RNAcentral.
UUUUUUUUUUUUUUUUUUUUUUUUUUUUUUUUUUUUUUUUUUCUGACAAGCCGCGUACU